RNAcentral lists this microRNA precursor (96 nucleotides) under Marmota monax (woodchuck). The record is from RNAcentral. Lineage: Eukaryota; Metazoa; Chordata; Mammalia; Rodentia; Sciuridae.
UAUAUGAUUGCUGGAUCACAUGGUAUGUUCAAUUUUAGAAGAAAUAAGUAACUGUUUUGCAAGGUGACUGUACCAUUUUGUGUUCUCACCAGCAAU